This 505-nucleotide ribosomal RNA is filed under the name uncultured bacterium. RNAcentral describes it as "partial 16S ribosomal RNA". It matches the Rfam family "Bacterial small subunit ribosomal RNA", at positions 28 to 507 of the family's 1533-position model. The record is from RNAcentral.
GACGAACGCUGGCGGCGUGCCUAAUACAUGCAAGUAGAACGCACAGUUUAUACCGUAGCUUGCUACACCAUAGACUGUGAGUUGCGAACGGGUGAGAAACGCGUAGGUAACCUGCCUGGUAGCGGGGGAUAACUAUUGGAAACGAUAGCUAAUACCGCAUAAUAUUGAUUAUUGCAUGAUAAUUGAUUGAAAGAUGCUAUUGCAUCACUACCAGAUGGACCUGCGUUGUAUUAGCUAGUAGGUGAGGUAACGGCUCACCUAGGCGACGAUACAUAGCCGACCUGAGAGGGUGAUCGGCCACACUGGGACUGAGACACGGCCCAGACUCCUACGGGAGGCAGCAGUAGGGAAUCUUCGGCAAUGGACGAAAGUCUGACCGAGCAACGCCGCGUGAGUGAAGAAGGGUUUCGGAUCGUAAAGCUCUGUUGUAAGAGAAGAACGGGUGUGAGAGUGGAAAGUUCACACUGUGACGGUAUCUUACCAGAAAGGGACGGCUAACUACGUG